GCCGUAACAAACUACUCCUAGAAAUUGUAUGACAUUUUAUAAUUUUUUUUGGUCAGUCUAAUCUAAAGGCCUUUGCGAUGUUAAAUUGUGAACAUCUUGAGGUUUCAUUAAAGGGUGUGGCCAUGGCGCCAUGACAAAGUUCGAUGUCUCGCCAUGGGAAUAGAAGUUGUUGUAACUCAGGCAUAAGAUGUCCGAUCUUCCCCAAACUUCACAUGUUCGAAAAGAGUCUUGGCCUGAACACAUCUGAAGGUCAUUAUUCCACUAUAAUCAUAGCGCCACCUGCUGACAACAGAAAAUGUCUUGUUUUACACUAACUUAAACAUGCAAUGUCCAAUCUGCACCAAACUUCAAAUAUUUGAUAAGAGUCAUGGCCUGAAGAUAUCUAAAGGCCAAUGUUCAGUUAUAAUCAUAGCGCCACCUGUUGGCAAUAGGACACAACAUGCUUUAUACUAACUCAAACAUUCCAUGUUCAAUCUGCACUAAAUUUCAUAUGCUUGAUAAAAGUGCUGGACUGAAGAAAUCUACAUGACAAAAUCCAGUUAUAGUCAUAGCGCCACCAGCUGUCAGCAGGCAGAUUGGCACAUAUGAAUGACUUUGACAUAUUCCUCUUAUAUUUACCACAUUAAAAGCAUAUUUCUCGCCAUUCGCUGUUUUACAAAAGCCACCCGGUGGCGGUGAGCCCGGGUGCGAGGGCCCGUUCAUCGCUGCUUGCAGCUUUAAUUAGGGCCCGAGC
Molecule: long non-coding RNA, 733 nt
Organism: Cyprinus carpio carpio
Lineage: Eukaryota; Metazoa; Chordata; Actinopteri; Cypriniformes; Cyprinidae
Source: Ensembl